GAUGAACGCUAGCUACAGGCUUAACACAUGCAAGUCGAGGGGAAACGACAUCGAAAGCUUGCUUUUGAUGGGCGUCGACCGGCGCACGGGUGAGUAACGCGUAUCCAACCUGCCCACCACUUGGGGAUAACCUUGCGAAAGUAAGACUAAUACCCAAUGAUAUCCCACGAAGACAUCUGAAUGGGAUUAAUGUUUUAUCGGUGAUGGAUGGGGAUGCGUCUGAUUAGCUUGUUGGCGGGGUAACGGCCCACCAAGGCAACGAUCAGUAGGGGUUCUGAGAGGAAGGUCCCCCAGAUGGGAACUGGGACACGGGCCAAACUCCUACGGGAGGCAGCAGUAAGGAAUAUUGGUGAAUGGACGAGAGCCUGAACCAGCCAAGUAGCGUGCAGGAAGACGGCCCUAUGGGUUGUAAACUGCUUUUAUAAGGGAAUAAAGUGGGUCACGUGUGACUUUUUGCAUGUACCUGAUGAAUAAGGACCGGCUAAUUCCGUG
RNAcentral lists this ribosomal RNA (492 nucleotides) under uncultured bacterium. RNAcentral describes it as "partial 16S ribosomal RNA". It matches the Rfam family "Bacterial small subunit ribosomal RNA", at positions 28 to 507 of the family's 1533-position model. The record is from RNAcentral.